RNAcentral lists this ribosomal RNA (277 nucleotides) under uncultured bacterium. Its description in RNAcentral is "partial 16S ribosomal RNA". It matches the Rfam family "Bacterial small subunit ribosomal RNA", at positions 1 to 277 of the family's 1533-position model. The record is from RNAcentral.
GAAUUCGCCCUUAGAGUUUGAUCAUGGCUCAGGAUAAACGCUGGCGGCGUGCCUAACACAUGCAAGUCGAACGUCCUCUGGCUUCGGCCGGAGGGAGUGGCGGACGGGUGAGGAACACGUGGGGACCUACCCUUCAGUGAGGAAUACCACCGGGAAACCGGUGACAAGACCGCAUAGGCUUGGUGCAAGCCAAGCAAAGCUCCUUUUCGGAGGGGCGCUGGAGGAGGGGCCUGCGGCUGAUUAGCUGGUUGGUGGGGUAACGGCUCACCAAGGCGAC